RNAcentral lists this ribosomal RNA (27 nucleotides) under Trichoderma harzianum. Its description in RNAcentral is "partial 28S ribosomal RNA". Lineage: Eukaryota; Fungi; Ascomycota; Sordariomycetes; Hypocreales; Hypocreaceae. The record is from RNAcentral.
CCUCGGAUCAGGAGAAUAACUGUCUAC